Molecule: ribosomal RNA, 876 nt
Filed under: Triticum aestivum (bread wheat)
Lineage: Eukaryota; Viridiplantae; Streptophyta; Magnoliopsida; Poales; Poaceae
Description: partial small subunit ribosomal RNA
Source: RNAcentral
AUGGACAGCGGAUGCACUAACCACAUGACUGGUGAUCGGAGUCUUCUCAAGGACUCAACCUUACGUCCAUGUGAUAAAAGUCACAUCACUUUCGCUGACACUGGUAAAAGCAAGGUAUUGGGCCUAGGUAGAGUUGCAAUCUCAAGGGAUCAGCACAUGGACAAAGUGAUGCUUGUUGAAUCCCUUGGUUUCAACUUAAUGUCUGUCUCAAUGCUUUGUGACUUAAACAUGAUUGUGCUAUUUGGAAAAUAUCGUUGCCUUGUACUAAUGGAAUCUGACAAGUCUCUAGUCUUCGAAGGGUACAUGAAAGAUGAUAUGUACAUGGUAGACUUCUCAGCAGGACCACAAAUGGUCAUAUGUCUUCUAGCCAAGUCUUCAGAGUGUUGGCUCUGGCAUCGGAGGCUAGGGCAUGCUGGCAUGAGUAACCUACACACUCUCGCCAAGAAGAAGCACGUCAUAGGCAUCGAAGACGUCAAAUUCAAGAAAGAUCAUCUAUGUGGUGCUUGUGAAGCUGGGAAGAUGACAAGGGCCAAGCAUCCCUCGAAGACAAUCAUGACUACAUCUCGACCUUUUGAGUUGCUCCACAUGGACUUGUUUGGUCCCACUCACUACUCUACUCUCACUGCUACUGCUUGUCUCUAUGGUUUCGUUAUUGUUGAUGAUUAUUCAAGAUACACUUGGGUGAACAUAAUUCUCUUCAAGACCGAAGUGCAAGAUGUCUUCAGACGCUUCGCCAACCGCGCCAUGAACAACUAUGGCGUCAAGAUCAAGCACAUUAGGAGUGACAACGACACAGAAUUCAAGAACACAGGCCUCGACCUCUAUCUUGACACCUUGGGCAUCACUCAUGAGUUUUCUGCUCCUUACACACUGUAA